UCGCAUCUAUGAUUAUGAAAAUAUUACCUACAUUAUUUGAUUCAUAAAUGAUAGAAUCUACAGAAUGAGAUGUGC
Small nucleolar RNA from Planococcus citri (citrus mealybug), 75 nucleotides. RefSeq annotates it as small nucleolar RNA SNORD34. The record is from RefSeq and is a predicted model, not a curated record. NCBI's taxonomy places the organism in Eukaryota, Metazoa, Arthropoda, Insecta, Hemiptera, Pseudococcidae. The transcript has a single exon.